This 77-nucleotide transfer RNA is filed under the name Paraglaciecola mesophila. Its description in RNAcentral is "tRNA-Val". It matches the Rfam family "tRNA". From Rfam's summary of the family: Transfer RNA (tRNA) molecules are approximately 80 nucleotides in length. Their secondary structure includes four short double-helical elements and three loops (D, anti-codon, and T loops). Further hydrogen bonds mediate the characteristic L-shaped molecular structure. tRNAs have two regions of fundamental functional importance: the anti-codon, which is responsible for specific mRNA codon recognition, and the 3' end, to which the tRNAs corresponding amino acid is attached (by aminoacyl-tRNA synthetases). tRNAs cope with the degeneracy of the genetic code in two manners: having more than one tRNA (with a specific anti-codon) for a particular amino acid; and 'wobble' base-pairing, i.e. permitting non-standard base-pairing at the 3rd anti-codon position. RNAcentral also lists the same sequence under 17 other names. Lineage: Bacteria; Pseudomonadati; Pseudomonadota; Gammaproteobacteria; Alteromonadales; Alteromonadaceae. The record is from RNAcentral.
GCGUCCGUAGCUCAGUUGGUUAGAGCACUACCUUGACAUGGUAGGGGUCGGAUGUUCGAGUCAUCUCGGACGCACCA